This is a long non-coding RNA of Tachysurus vachellii, 553 nucleotides long. RefSeq lists it as uncharacterized. The record is from RefSeq and is a predicted model, not a curated record. NCBI's taxonomy places the organism in Eukaryota, Metazoa, Chordata, Actinopteri, Siluriformes, Bagridae. The transcript has 3 exons.
CUGACAGAAACAGGAAGUAGUUGUAUCACUAUGGGGACUGGGGAUGACAAGAAGUUGGCGGUUUCUUUAGCCAAACAUUCUUACUGGUUCGACUUUUGGGUUUUUAUGUUGUUCGACAUCGCAUUUUUUCUCUUCGUGUAUUUUGUUGUUCCAUAAACGGUUUCUGAAAUCUGGACAAGAUGAAAGGACCCAAGACUGUGGCUCAUCUGCAGAAGAGAUGACUGUUAAAUUGUCUGAUGGCUGUGUCCUGUGGCUUCAGCUGUGGCUUCAGCUGAUCUCUUGCUAACCUUUUACCACCGAAUCCAGUCCCUGCCCUGGUUCCGCACACCAGCGCUUUAAAACAUACCAUUAACAUUCCUUUCCAGACCCUAAUGCCUCUCCAGAACCUUGAGUAACAUGAAAUCAAUCCGGGCUAAGUUAUUUUUGUAUAUUUCACCUGAUAAUAAUUAGAAUAUUUGUGUGUGUGUGUGUGUGUGAGAGAGCAGAUUAUCAGUGUGAAUGAGUGAUAGAAUUGUACUGAAAAUAAAAUAAAAAACUAAGCUAUUUUCUGGAA